CGCUGCGCCGCGCAGGGCACCGAUAGCGGCAGGAGUGCGGGUGAGCCGCUGCGGGCGGGCGAGGGCACCGCCCCCGGGGCCCCGGGCGCGCCCUCCUUCAUCAUCAACGUGCUGCAGAACAUCAACGCGGUGCAGCAACAGACUAACGUCACGCUCUGAGCGUCACCGUCCAACGUCUCGUCACAUUGCUCAAGUUUUAAUCAUCUCGACAACUUUUCCGCAACAGCGAUUGACUUCAAGUCUAUUUUUAAUAAAAUUUACAAUUUUCAGAAAAAUUUACACGAAAACUGGAGAUAUUAUUUUGGAGUCAGUCAAAUGCGAAUUAUGUAGAAUGAGUUAAGCAAAUAUUUUGGGCUACCUAUCAGACUCGGUCAUCGUACAAAAUUAGCUGCUUUGUUUGUUGUUAGGUGCUGUGCAAUUAUUACGUCAUCGAGAUUAUAAGCAUUUACUAGUGCUUAGUGCGGAGUGUAACAUAGGUUAGUGGUAUUAUGAAUUUUUUCUUAAGUUUUGUACGUUUUACAUGACAUACUGUUUGCAUUUAAAGUAUUCUUUUGCCAAUGUUAUGUUGGAGUGACAGAACACUCAUUUGAUAUGUAAGUCUCGAUACAUGUUUAUUGUUUACUCAAAAGUUAUUACUCUUAUUUAAAACUAGUUAGUUUAAGUAACAUUAUAUUUUGGUACAAUGGAGGCUUAUUCAAACGGAAUACUUGCUGUUGUAAGUUUAGGUAAUCGUACAUACACAUAUUUAAAAAAAAAAAUUAGCAAUUCAAAUUAUGUUAAGUCACAACCGUUUGAAAAACCCAUUGUACAAUGUAAUGUUUAUAUAAAUUUUGUAUUCUUUGUUACUAUUAGAUUUAAUUAUGUUUAAAAAAUGCUCAAAUCUUGCUGAUGAUUAAAUACUUGUUAAUAAAUUGCACAUUUGAUGAAGAAAGUUCUAUAAAGAACAAUUUGUAAAUAUAAUCAAAAGUAAGAAAUGUACGCCAUAAUCGUAAAACCAAAUUGAUAACAACAAUUUUACAUUUCAUAAGUACUCAGUUUUAUUGCUUAAUAUUUUGAAUAAUUCUAAUUUGUAUAGAAAGGAGUGAGUCGCAAAAUACUAAUUUUAAUUUUUAAUUUCGCAACGAAACCAUUUUGAUUUGUUUUUUGUUAAGUAUUACGAAUAAUUGGUAACUCAUUUAAAUUCUAAUCAUUUCAAUUGAACCAUUUGAAGUGAAAAAGAACUGCAAAUGUAGUAUUUAGGUGGCAAGAAAUAAAAAUAUAAGUUUUGAGGAAGUGCACUUGUUAAAUUUUGUAUCACUUUUAAGAGCAGUGCCAUACAAUAGCAAUAACUGUAUGUGGUAAUCAAUUUAUAUCACAAGAUUAUGAUGUAAUGUUAUUUUUUAAGAUUGCUCAUAGACUGAUAUCCUUCUUAGUGUGCCUUAUUACUUACUAGAUGGUCACUUAUUUACAUUUCUUUCUUGAGAAAUAUAUCAAUUAUAAUAACUUUAUAAUUUUUAUAGAAACCACAAUAAGUACUUGGAGAACAGUCGAAAUAAUGUUUUUUAGCUUUUUGAUGUACAAUUUUACUUUGUUUCAAAAAUUACAAACACUAGUUUUAAGGUUCGCAUGUGAUUUAUAACAAUAUUUUAGUGUUAAAUAUAUUUUUAUUAUUUUAUACUAAGCGCAACUAUUGAUCUUAAAGACAGACAAGUGAGAGUUACAUUAUAUGUUUGAAAUCUGAGACAGAUCUGAAAUGUAUGUAUUUUAAUGGUUACUUUCAAUUACUUAACUGUUUGUGAUUUUUCGAACAUACAAUUUAGUAUUGUGACAUAAUUUAUUUUGCAUUUUAUGUCAAGGUUGUAUCUUAAGUAGCCGAAGUUACAAAAAGAUGUAGUGGAAAGCAUAUGUGAAAAACAAAAUUUUAAAAGUAUAAUAUGUAUUAAUAAAUAUUUAAGUUAUGAAAGGUUCAUCCUGUAUUCAGAGAUUUUAUGCAUCUUACGGCAAUUAUAACGGUGUUUUACUUCUCGUAAGUGUAAUUUUUGUCUUCCUAAAUUUACAAAAAAUUUGAAAAGUGUAUCUUAUAACAUAUAUUAUAAGUUUCGAUAAUAAUUAUAGACUGCAUGCAGGUAAACAUAUUUUUUUUAAAAUAAUAAUUAGCAUAAUGCUAUGCCAUUAGUAAAUAGCGCCUUCCUAGUGUUAUUGGUGCCUCUCUUUUAAAUUUUCUCUAAUCAGCAAUUCAUGUUAAUUUAAAGUUGAGGCUCAAUAAAACUUCAUAGACAUUUAUUUACAAUAAUUGUAUCGAUUGCGGUUACGAGGUGCUUCGUUCAACUAAUUAAUAUAUGAUCUCGUAUGCUAAGACCAGUAAUAUUUUUUUUACAAAAACAAUUAAAUAAACUAUCGGCCCUUAUGCGGUUUCGUAGGUACUUCUUUUUGAUUUUUAUCACGGUCGUAAAUUCGUAAUACAUAUUUUGUUAAAAUUUCAUGUGUUCGGUUCCAAAGAUGCGUGUGACAGACCGACAACGGUGUCUUUGUAAUAGGUGAUACACCAUUUUGUAACAACUUAACAAAAUAUGAAAAUCCUAUGCUAAUUAAUAUUAAAAUCAAUAAAUUAUUUAUGAAACUUUAUAAAUUAUAUGGAUAUGACUUAUUUUUUACGAAUGAAGUUACUUGAGCCACGAAAUUCAGAAGCUAUAAAUUAAUUUUGUUUAAUACGAUACGAUCACGAUGACUGUAUGACUUUAACUUAUGAUGGUUAAAUGACAAACAUUUUCAAGUGAAAUAAUAAAUUCGUUAGAAAAUUAAUUAAAUUUGUAACAUUAAUUCUCGGGGGCUUAAUAUUUGUUUUAAUGGUAUUUUUUAUGGCCUUUCUUUGAUAAAAUUUAUUUUUAGAUAUUUUCAACAUUAAUAGAAAUGAUAACUAUAUUAUUCAUAUUUUUUAAAUUGAAAACUCAUAUUAUAAUGUAAUUGUUUUAAAUGAUAUAUAGUUAGUAACGCAACAAGAACGAUUCUUCGAUUAAUGAUAAUUGUAUGAUUGUAAAUGAAUACGGUAUGAACUAAAAAUUUUCAGUAUUUGAUACAAAAGUACAUUUAUUACGAUUUAAAAAUACGUAAACUAUAUGAGAAACGAGUGCCUCAACGCAAUGAACUGUCUGUGAUGUACUUAAUUAAAUCGUUGUUGUUUAUAUUGUUUUAGUGUUAAGGAUAUUUUAAUGUAAAAGGAAUCCUUAGUGGUCGGUGUAAGUUAUGAGCGAGGGCAUUGUCUCUAGUCACGGCUCAGUAAAAAGAUGAAUGUAUUGCCUUGUAAGGAUUGUUUUUUUACAAAUAAAACGAUAUUUCAAUUCACACUUUGGUUUCAUUUUAUUUUCAUAUCUAAGUUAAGAGCAAAAAUAGUAAUAGCAUUCACAAAAUUAGUGAUAUUCGAGUGAUUUUUGGUGUAUUAUCAUGAAAAAUCGUAAAUAAUAAUAACUAUAAUCACUGAAUAAUCUAUAACGCAGUGCUUUUACGUGCAAAAAGAUCUGUCGCGUAUAUCUCGACCAGUGUAGUAGUCGGCAGCGGUCAGAGGUCGAGCGGCGCGACGAAGAGCGCGAGCGCGUGCAGCUGCGCCCGCGGCGGCGCCAGGCCGGCGUGCAGCGGCGCGCGC
Molecule: unclassified non-coding RNA, 3619 nt
Filed under: Melitaea cinxia (Glanville fritillary)
Lineage: Eukaryota; Metazoa; Arthropoda; Insecta; Lepidoptera; Nymphalidae
Description: misc RNA ENSMCXG00005004965.1
Source: RNAcentral